UUCAUGCCGCGUGCAGGAUGAAGGCCUUCGGGUUGUAAACUGCUUUUGUACGGAACGAAACGGCUCUUUCUAAUAAAGAGGGCUAAUGACGGUACCGUAAGAAUAAGCACCGGCUAACUACGUGCCAGCAGCCGCGGUAAUACGUAGGGUGCAAGCGUUAAUCGGAAUUACUGGGCGUAAAGCGUGCGCAGGCGGUGAUGUAAGACAGUUGUGAAAUCCCCGGGCUCAACCUGGGAACUGCAUCUGUGACUGCAUUGCUGGAGUGCGGCAGAGGGGGAUGGAAUUCCGCGUGUAGCAGUGAAAUGCGUAGAUAUGCGGAGGAACACCGAUGGCGAAGGCAAUCCCCUGGGCCUGCACUGACGCUCAUGCACGAAAGCGUGGGGAGCAAACAGGAUUAGAUACCCUGGUAGUCCACGCCCUAAACGAUGUCAACUGGUUGUUGGGAAUUCACUUUCUCAGUAACGAAGCUAACGCGUGAAGUUGACCGACUGGGGAGUACGGCCGCAAGGUUGAAACUCACCGGACUUGACGGGGACCCGCACAACGCGGUGGCUGCUGUGGUUUAAUUCGAUGCACCGCGAAAAACCUUACCACCUUUGACAUGUCCGGAAUUUGCCAGACAUGGCUUAGUGCUCGAAAGGA
Molecule: ribosomal RNA, 642 nt
Filed under: Variovorax sp. RK26
Lineage: Bacteria; Pseudomonadati; Pseudomonadota; Betaproteobacteria; Burkholderiales; Comamonadaceae
Description: bacterial SSU rRNA
Rfam family: Bacterial small subunit ribosomal RNA
Source: RNAcentral